AACAGGAUAGAUACCCUGUAGUCCACGCCGUAAACGUGGGUACUAGGUUGGGCUCAUUUCACGAGUUCGUCCGUAGCUACGCAUUAGUACCCCCGCCUGGGGAGUACGGCCGCAGGCUAAAACUCAAAGGAAUGACGGGGGCCCGCACAAGCGGCGGAGCAUGUGGAUAAUUCGGAUGCAACGCGAAGACCUUACCCUGGUUUUGACAUACCCCAGACGCAGCCAGAGAUGGUUGUUCCUUUGUGGUUGGUGUACAGGUGGUGCAUGGCGGUGUUCAGCUCGUGUCGUGAGAUGUUGGGUUAAUUCCCGCAACGAGCGCAACCCUUUUCCUGUAUUCCCAGCGGGUUAUCCCGGGGACUUCCAGGAGACUCCCGGGGUCAAUUGGGAGGAAGGUGGGGAGGACGUCAAGUCAUCAUGCCCCUUAUGUCCAGGGCUUCACCCAUGCUCCAAUGGCCGGUACAGAGGGCUGGGAUACCGUGAGGGGGAGGGAAUCCCUUAAAGCCGGUUUCAGUUCGGAUCGGGGUCUGCAACUCGACCCCGUGAAGUCGGAGUCGCUAGUAAUCGCAGAUCAGCAACGCUGCGGUGAAUACGUUCCCGGGCCUUGUACACACCGCCCGUCACGUCAUGAAAGUCGGUAACACCCGAAGCC
Molecule: ribosomal RNA, 649 nt
Filed under: Gordonia sp. DS_4Q
Lineage: Bacteria; Bacillati; Actinomycetota; Actinomycetes; Mycobacteriales; Gordoniaceae
Description: bacterial SSU rRNA
Rfam family: Bacterial small subunit ribosomal RNA
Source: RNAcentral